AAGGCUCAGGCUGUGAGCUCCAGUAGGGCAACUGCUUACAGGAAGCCAGGCUUUGCUUCCAUACACAUUUCUAGGUGGCUGGCCCCGGCUGGUCCUUGCGCAGCAGGCAGUGCUGCCAUGGGAGGUGCUCAGGGAGAAGCUGGGCCUUCGAAGCUUUGAGGUUGGGUCCAAGCUGGCAACCCUGAGAGGAGCCCCAGAGGAUGAGCAGGUGGUGUCUGGGUGAGGGGUGGCCAUGGCACUACAAGGGGAGACUGAGCGUGAUGCUGAAGAACAGAGUGAUUGGUGGCUGGUAAGGAGCAGACAAGAGGUGAGGCAGAACCCCAGGGAGCUGGAGGAAGGGAGCAGUGAGGACUCAGUGGCCUGUCCCUUGGGGCCAAGGAAGCAGAGGGCAGAAAAUGUGUCUUGAGGCUGGAAGAGGGGACUGACGAGGCUGAAGAUGUGCCCUGGGGUGGGCAAGGGGGUGUGUUUCUGAACCGGUGACUGGGGACAUGGAUGCCCCUGGUCUUGCUGGAGUUGGUGGGUAAAAACCAUGUCACAGAAGCUAACUAGAGGCUCCCGGGCCUCCUGUGGACCAGAUCCAACUGAUCUAUGGCACGGCUUUCCCUCUCCCUACAGAGAGGAGGGCUGGGCCUGGGGCCUGGAGCCCAGAAUCCUGGGUGUGGGGGUGUGCAGACUGGGCAGCAGGCAUUCUAGAACAUUCCCUUCCUCAGGCCCUGCUUUGUGAGCCCAUGAAAUUGGCCGUUCUGGGUCCAGGGUUCAGGCUACAGGAGCAUCUCCCACACUGUCCUCUGGGAAGCUCCCCGACCAGCUUGCUGCCCCCGAAGCAAUGUGCCUGCUCCAAGCCUUGUGCCCCUCCGGGGUCCUGUUCUCUCCAGCCCUAUCUCUGCUCCUUGGGAUUCCCUCCCACAGACACGGGCUGGACCAAAUGGCUCCAGCAUGCAAACCUUGGAAAAUGGACCAUGUGUCUGUGUCUGCCAACAAAAAUGUUUAAUCAGUUGCUGUAUUUCUCUCCCUCCAUCCCUCUGCUUUGGUUUUAUUGGCUUUGGCAGAAUUUAUUACCCAGCGUUAAUUUGGCAUCCCCUUCCUGUCACUGCCGGAGACAAACCACCUGAAACAGACGAGGCCCUGUGCACAGGAAUCUCAGACUGAGCCCCUCACGCAUCCCCCAAAGUGGAGAAGGGGCUGGAGCUCCCCACAGGCUCAGCGGGAGAGCCAGGCACAGGAGCUGGGGAGAAGGGCUGGGCCUCACCCGGGCCUCACCCGGGCCUUAGGGAGAUGGUAAAGGUGGGCUGGAGCCUGGCAUGGAGCAGCGGGGUCCUCGCCUCCCUCAGUGCCCAGCGCAGCGUGAGCAAGGAACAUAGUGAGCACAGGUCCAGGCGACCUUACCAGCACCAGGAGGACCAAGUCCCAGAGCCCCCACCGCUGGGUUUUGGAAGUGUGCCAGCUGUUUGUGCUCACAGUGACAGGGACACCUCUGGCAGGAGGGGGGGGGCAGUGCCUCUCACCAGGCGUCGUGCCAGUGGGAUCCUUGUAAACCCACCCCGAGGAGGGGCGCAGCCUGGGUUGCACAGCCAGUUACAGCCAUAGCUGGAGCCAACUCUGCCUCCUGAGCUGGUCUCUUGCCCCUGCUCUCCUGCCGUGGGCUUGAGGCCAGCUGCUUGGGAGAGGACCGAGAAUCUGGGAAAGACCAAGGCCAAAGCCAGGAAUGGAGAAAGUAAAAGUUUGACCACAGACUCAGGACGACCAGCCUCCCUCCUCUUCUGGGAAAAUGGAGGUCGCCGUUCAGAUCCCGCCCCUUUGCUCUGGUGCCUGCUCUGGAGCCCUGGGAGCCUCUGUCCUUGAGUGGGAAGUGAGGAGCUGGUGCUGUGCUUUAUGCUGUGAAAGAUGAAGGUGUCACCAUGCAGCGUCUACACUAUGACAGGGACUAGGGAUGAGGGAGCUGUCAGUGUCCUCCAGGCCUUAAC
Non-coding RNA from Heterocephalus glaber (naked mole-rat), 1964 nucleotides. The record is from RefSeq and is a predicted model, not a curated record. NCBI's taxonomy places the organism in Eukaryota, Metazoa, Chordata, Mammalia, Rodentia, Bathyergidae.